UAACCUGCCCAAGAGAUCGGGAUAACACCUGGAAACAGAUGCUAAUACCGGAUAACAAUAGAUGAUGCCUAUCAACUGUUUAAAAGAUGGUUCUGCUAUCACUCUUGGAUGGACCUGCGGUGCAUUAGCUAGUUGGUAGGGUAACGGCCUACCAAGGCGAUGAUGCAUAGCCGAGUUGAGAGACUGAUCGGCCACAUUGGGACUGAGACACGGCCCAAACUCCUACGGGAGGCAGCAGGA
Molecule: ribosomal RNA, 240 nt
Filed under: uncultured Lactobacillus sp.
Lineage: Bacteria; Bacillati; Bacillota; Bacilli; Lactobacillales; Lactobacillaceae
Description: partial 16S ribosomal RNA
Rfam family: Bacterial small subunit ribosomal RNA
Source: RNAcentral